RNAcentral lists this ribosomal RNA (253 nucleotides) under uncultured bacterium. RNAcentral describes it as "partial 16S ribosomal RNA". It matches the Rfam family "Bacterial small subunit ribosomal RNA", at positions 524 to 776 of the family's 1533-position model. The record is from RNAcentral.
UACGAGGGGGGCAAGCGUUGUUCGGAAUUAUUGGGCGUAAAGGGCGCGUAGGCGGUUUGACAAGUCUUAUGUGAAAUCUCUGGGCUCAACCCAGAGUCUGCAUGGGAAACUGUCGGGCUUGAGUAUGGGAGAGGUGAGUGGAAUUUCCGGUGUAGCGGUGAAAUGCGUAGAUAUCAGGAAGAACACCCGUGGCUAAGGCGGCUCUCUAGUACGGUACUGACGCUGAGACGCGAAAGCGUGGGGAGCGAACAGG